Molecule: ribosomal RNA, 414 nt
Filed under: uncultured bacterium
Lineage: Bacteria
Description: partial 16S ribosomal RNA
Rfam family: Bacterial small subunit ribosomal RNA
Source: RNAcentral
AAUAUUGCACAAUGAGCGAAAGCUUGAUGCAGCGACGCAGCGUGAGGGAUGACGGNUUNNGGGUUNUNAACCUCUUUCGGCAGNNNNNAAGUCCAGGUUUUGGCCUGGUUGCGAGUACCUGCUUAAGAAGCGCCGGCUAACUACGUGCGAGCAGCCGCGGUAAUACGUAGGGCGCGAGCGUUGUCCGGAAUUAUUGGGCGUAAAGAGCUCGUAGGCGGCUUGUCGCGUCUGCUGUGAAAACGCGGGGCUUAACUCCGCGCUUGCAGUGGGUACGGGCAGGCUUGAGUGUAGUAGGGGAGACUGGAAUUCCUGGUGUAGCGGUGGAAUGCGCAGAUAUCAGGAGGAACACCGAUGGCGAAGGCAGGUCUCUGGGCUAUAACUGACGCUGAGGUGCGAAAGCGUGGGGAGCAAACA